UGGGGAAUAUUGCACAAUGGGCGCAAGCCUGAUGCAGCCAUGCCGCGUGUAUGAAGAAGGCCUUCGGGUUGUAAAGUACUUUCAGCGGGGAGGAAGGCGAUAAGGUUAAUAACCUUGUCGAUUGACGUUACCCGCAGAAGAAGCACCGGCUAACUCCGUGCCAGCAGCCGCGGUAAUACGGAGGGUGCAAGCGUUAAUCGGAAUUACUGGGCGUAAAGCGCACGCAGGCGGUCUGUCAAGUCGGAUGUGAAAUCCCCGGGCUCAACCUGGGAACUGCAUUCGAAACUGGCAGGCUAGAGUCUUGUAGAGGGGGGUAGAAUUCCAGGUGUAGCGGUGAAAUGCGUAGAGAGCUGGAGGAAUACCGGUGGCGAAGGCGGCCCCCUGGACAAAGACUGACGCUCAGGUGCGAAAGCGUGGGGAGCAAACA
RNAcentral lists this ribosomal RNA (427 nucleotides) under uncultured bacterium. Its description in RNAcentral is "partial 16S ribosomal RNA". It matches the Rfam family "Bacterial small subunit ribosomal RNA", at positions 355 to 774 of the family's 1533-position model. The record is from RNAcentral.